UGCCCAAGAGAUCGGGAUAACACCUGGAAACAGAUGCUAAUACCGGAUAACAAUAGAUGAUGCCUAUCAACUGUUUAAAAGAUGGUUCUGCUAUCACUCUUGGAUGGACCUGCGGUGCAUUAGCUAGUUGGUAGGGUAACGGCCUACCAAGGCGAUGAUGCAUAGCCGAGUUGAGAGACUNAUCGGCCACAUUGGGACUGAGACACGGCCCAAACUCCUACGGGAGGCAGCAGGC
RNAcentral lists this ribosomal RNA (235 nucleotides) under uncultured Lactobacillus sp. RNAcentral describes it as "partial 16S ribosomal RNA". It matches the Rfam family "Bacterial small subunit ribosomal RNA", at positions 127 to 354 of the family's 1533-position model. The record is from RNAcentral. Lineage: Bacteria; Bacillati; Bacillota; Bacilli; Lactobacillales; Lactobacillaceae.